UACGUAGGGUCCGAGCGUUUGUCCGGAAUUACUGGGCGUAAAGAGCUCGUAGGCGGUUUGUCGCGUCGGCCGUGAAAUCUCCACGCUUAACGUGGAGCGUGCGGUCGAUACGGGCAGACUUGAGUUCGGCAGGGGAGACUGGAAUUCCUAGUGUAGCGGUGAAAUGCGCAGAUAUCAGGAGGAACACCGGUGGCGAAGGCGGGUCUCUGGGCCGAUACUGACGCUGAGGAGCGAAAGCGUGGGGAGCGAACAGG
RNAcentral lists this ribosomal RNA (254 nucleotides) under uncultured bacterium. RNAcentral's name for it is "partial 16S ribosomal RNA". It matches the Rfam family "Bacterial small subunit ribosomal RNA", at positions 524 to 776 of the family's 1533-position model. The record is from RNAcentral.